UGGAAUUUAGCAAAGUGGCACCGUGCCUGCCUUGCAAGCACAAGGUCCUGAGUUCGAUCCUUAGAACUACAA
Molecule: transfer RNA, 72 nt
Filed under: Fukomys damarensis (Damara mole-rat)
Lineage: Eukaryota; Metazoa; Chordata; Mammalia; Rodentia; Bathyergidae
Rfam family: tRNA
About the family: Transfer RNA (tRNA) molecules are approximately 80 nucleotides in length. Their secondary structure includes four short double-helical elements and three loops (D, anti-codon, and T loops). Further hydrogen bonds mediate the characteristic L-shaped molecular structure. tRNAs have two regions of fundamental functional importance: the anti-codon, which is responsible for specific mRNA codon recognition, and the 3' end, to which the tRNAs corresponding amino acid is attached (by aminoacyl-tRNA synthetases). tRNAs cope with the degeneracy of the genetic code in two manners: having more than one tRNA (with a specific anti-codon) for a particular amino acid; and 'wobble' base-pairing, i.e. permitting non-standard base-pairing at the 3rd anti-codon position.
Source: Rfam by way of RNAcentral